AGAGUUUGAUCAUGGCUCAGAUUGAACGCUGGCGGCGUGCCUAACACAUGCAAGUCGAGCGGUAACAGGUGUAGCAAUACAUGCUGACGAGCGGCGAACGGGUGAGUAAUGCUUUGGAAUCUUCCCAGUAGUGGGGAAUAACCAGUCGAAAGAUUGGCUAAUACCGCAUACGUCUGUAAAGGGAAAGCGGGGGCUCGUAAGACCUCGCGCUAUUGGAUGAGCCAAAGUCGGAUUAGCUAGUUGGUGGGGUAAUGGCCUACCAAGGCGACAAUCCGUAGCUGGUCUGAGAGGACGACCAGCCACACCGGAACUGAGACACGGUCCGGACUCCUACGGGAGGCAGCAGUGGGGAAUAUUGGACAAUGGGGGAAACCCUGAUCCAGCGACGCCGCGUGUGUGAAGAAGGCCUGCGGGUUGUAAAGCACUUUUAGUGGGGACAAAAAGCUACGGAUUAAUACUCUGUGGUCUUGAUUUAACCCAAAGAAAAAGCACCGGCUAACUCUGUGCCAGCAGCCGCGGUAAUACAGAGGGUGCGAGCGUUAAUCGGAAUUACUGGGCGUAAAGCGCGCGUAGACGGUUUUGUAAGUCAGAUGUGAAAUCCCUGGGCUCAACCUGGGAACUGCAUUUGAGACUGCAUGGCUAGAGUAUCGAAGAGGGAAGUGGAAUUUCCGGUGUAGCGGUGAAAUGCGUAGAUAUCGGAAGGAACACCAGUGGCGAAAGCGACUUCCUGGUCGAAUACUGACGUUCAUGUGCGAAAGCGUGGGGAGCAAACAGGAUUAGAUACCCUAGUAGUCC
Molecule: ribosomal RNA, 795 nt
Filed under: uncultured bacterium
Lineage: Bacteria
Description: bacterial SSU rRNA
Rfam family: Bacterial small subunit ribosomal RNA
Source: RNAcentral